This 41-nucleotide ribosomal RNA is filed under the name Meriones unguiculatus (Mongolian gerbil). The record is from RNAcentral. Lineage: Eukaryota; Metazoa; Chordata; Mammalia; Rodentia; Muridae.
CUGAAUACACCCCAUCAUAUUUGAUCUCAGAAGCUAAGCAG